AUGAUUAUAUUAUAUGUGGACUAACGUCACUUGUGCAAGAUAAUUGCUAAGUGAAUGCAGAUUAGUGAUAUGAUGAGUUUGUUGGAAAGUUGCAAUUCUUUAUGGUCUACUAGUUAGCCUAAAGAAUGAUGGCAAUAAAAGGAAGUCAAGGAUCUUUUGAAUAUGCGCAAUUUGGAAGAUUCUAGACCUGCCAAGACUUAUGCCAACAACCACUGGACUUGAUCAGUACAAGAAAGGUACAUCAACUGAAAUCUCAAGUCUCAGAGGCAUUCAACUCAUCACUUUACUCAACUGCAAGUGGAUCACAUACUAUAUUUUCUAUAAGGUACUACUUCUUUCAUGAGCAUGUCUAUCGUAUUUCUUAAAUGAAUUCAUGAGUAUUAAAUUGUCUAUACGUAGGACUUGUGAAUUUAUUUAAAAUCCAGUACCUCGUGCUUUUUGUUAUUCUAUGUGAUUGUCAUGUUUAUUGCUUUGCAUGCUUAGAUGGUGAUUACAUGUUUUAGCAUGAGUGUUUGUUAUUUCAAUUAUUUAAAUUGUGUUGCAUGACAAUUAAGUGACUUAUUUGUUCAUGAUUUAAAUGAUUAGGGAUGACAUGAAGCAUGACUUAAUUAUGUUAUUUUUCUUGAUCUAUACCUCUUUAACAAUUGGUAUCUAGUAGAGAACUUUGUCAUAAUCUAGUCGUGAUAUAUCUGUAUUUGUGAACAUACUUAGGAUUAUUUUCUAGGUUGAAUUCAUUUUUAUAGGUAUAAAAUCUGAAGCAUGACUUAUUUGUUUCUAGACUUGUGACUUGUAUCAGUAAUUGGUAUGUGGUUAGAAUCUAGUUAGAAUUUAGUCAUGAUAUACUAGUAUUUGUGGAGUUACUUAGAUUCUCUCUAGGCUGAAUCCAUUUAUAUUAGUGUAUAUACUUGAAGCAUAACUAUUUGUGUUGGAUAUUUGAUGAUUUAUUAAUUGAUAUUUUAUUUCAUGUCUAACUGCAUAUAGUUGUGAUACUUUUAGUGUUAGUGAUAUUAUUGCAUGCUUAUAUGUAGAUCACUAAUAUUAAUUGUUAAUAUUUUUCUGCGAGGAGUUGUGUGCGUUCACGUGUGUUUAGUGAUUAUUUGUAUAGGACUCGUGAACUUUUCCUCAACUUUCCCUCGGGCUUGCGAAUAUCUUUGUAUGAUUGUCAUGAUUUUAGUUGUUAUAUGCUGAUCUGAUAAUUAUAUGAUAUUGCGUAGGUAAUUAUUAUUUUAUCUUAGUUAAAUUGUGAUCCAUGACAAUUAUAUGCUUAUUUGUUUCAUGAUUGACUUUGAUAGAAUAAUAGAAGCAUGAUUAAUUCAUUUUUGAAAUAUUUAAUUGGUAUCUAUUUUUGAUGCUUUAUUGAUGUUUUAUUUGUGAAUUGAUUGUGAUGUAUUGGCACUGGUGAAAUAUUGUUGCAUAUUUCUUAAAACCACUGGUGCUAAUAUAUUUUAGGUGUUUAAUAUUCUGAGUACAAGGGAGACAACAUAAUCUUUAUUCUGUCUCAUAUUUAUGUUCUGGAGUGGUGAGUUUCUUCAAAGAAAUUUUCUUAUCAAUUGAUUUCAACAAUUGGUAUCCACUACUCUAUUUCAUAAAUAUUUCUUAGAAUAUUUUGCAUCUAUACAUGUAGCGUCAUAGGACGAGACAUUGAUUAUCUUGUAUUUGUGUACUUGGUGAUCUUUGUCACUUGCAGCGUCUGUUUUGACGAUGUGCUAGUAUGAGGCCUUUUCACUAAUUAGUGUGGCGAGUGCUUUAUACACUGUAGCGCAUAAAUUUUCUUGUUUCCUUUUUAAAUUGUAGUGAGAAACAGGAGUCUGUGUCUUUUUCAAAGACAAGUUCAUUUAAACCUUUUAUGCAUAGAUUCAGACUCUCGUACUCAAACCAGUUUUUAAUGGAAAACUUUGAUUCUUUCAUCGGUUGUGAUUGUCAUUCUUUAUGAAAAUCAUUUUUACAAUCACAACUGAUUCAUUUUUCCUCAAAAGAUUAAAUGCAAUUGCUUUCAUUCAAAAUCAUAGAUUUUCUAAAAUGCAUUUAUAUCUCUUUCUGUUCUUCGGAACUUAAUCAGCCUCUUGGCUUUCCUAGAUAGUCAUAAGGUUGAAAACCAACAAUCUUUAUCCCAGACUAUAAAACCAAAUUCAGAACACAUCCCAACUUUCCCCC
RNAcentral lists this long non-coding RNA (2154 nucleotides) under Daucus carota (carrot). RNAcentral's name for it is "long non-coding RNA (DCAR_LNC004868)". The record is from RNAcentral. Lineage: Eukaryota; Viridiplantae; Streptophyta; Magnoliopsida; Apiales; Apiaceae.